GUUUGGAGUGGAAUUGUUUGGAAGACAAUCUUGGGACAAUUUUGCUCUUUGGGUCUUUGUGCCAACCAUACCAGCUAUCGUAGGGUGCUCUGGGAACUUCUUAGAUCUGUUUACUGUACAGAAAUACGCAUUUUGUUUACAUAAAAUCCCUUGUCAUUUCACCACUAGGUUUGAAACCCAGACAGCACGAAGCAUCUUGCCGACGCCAAAAUCAGAUCAACAGACAGGGACAUCAGCCUUCUCUUGGGAAUAGGCCAGAUAUGCCAGAACAAGAAAUGUCUAUAUCUUGGACUGAAAAAGGAUGCUUUGCCCCUGCGGUUGUGAAGAGGAUGCUGUGGAGGUGGCAGCAUGAACGUGUCACACAGACAUUGGCUAAACUACUCGGCUUCUACACUUGCCCUCAGAGUUCACAUAUGGUGAAGUGCACAGGUGUCCAGUCAGGUUCAGACUGAUGCUGGUAACAAGAGGAAAACAUGCUAAUUGGUCAGUCCAUGAGCCCACGUCUUCAGGUCAUGGGCCUGAGAAGAAUCUACCGUUACAGGGGUCAGAAGAGAUCCUCAAACUAUGCUGACAUUACUACCCCUGUACUUCAACCCAUCUGCUGCCACUGGGUCCUCAACGAGAAAAUAAACUGAUCCCCCCCCAAUCCAUUCCUUUUUCCACCGUCACAUCACACCAUGCCUAUGCACAUUAACACCACCAAUGAGCCUAGAAAACUAGGACAACAGUGAGGAUGAAUUUAGAAACCGCUUCCACGUAUUGUACUAUUUCUGAAAAAGCAUUGGUAUUGGCCUUCUAUCUCCACGUAGCCAUAUCAAAAAACCUGCCUAAAAAAAAAUCAAUUUUGUCGUGUUUCCGCUUAAAAAGGAAUUUAGAAACCGCUUCCACGUAUUGUACUAUUUCUGAAAAAGCAUUGGUAUUGGCCUUCUAUCUCCAUGUAGCCAUAUCAAAAAACCUGCCUCAAAAAAAAAACAAUUUUGUCGUGUUUCCGCUUAAAAAGGAGAACAAAAUAUCCACAUGUAAAAUUAUCCUGCUACGUGGAAAUGGCACCUUACUAAAUAAAUAACAACUGCAUAGUUAUUCUGUUCAAUUUAUGAGUAACUAUGUAAAUUAUGAUUAACUUUUUGGCUGAUAUGGGACACUGCAUGAAAAGAGGAAUUUGUGGAUGAGUUUUGCACCUUAAAUUGCCUCAUACCUCAAGCCACAGCAUUUGCGGCUCCCCCAUGC
This is a long non-coding RNA of Engraulis encrasicolus (European anchovy), 1227 nucleotides long. RefSeq lists it as uncharacterized. The record is from RefSeq and is a predicted model, not a curated record. NCBI's taxonomy places the organism in Eukaryota, Metazoa, Chordata, Actinopteri, Clupeiformes, Engraulidae. The transcript has 5 exons.